Molecule: ribosomal RNA, 376 nt
Filed under: uncultured bacterium
Lineage: Bacteria
Description: bacterial SSU rRNA
Rfam family: Bacterial small subunit ribosomal RNA
Source: RNAcentral
UACGGAGGUCCCAAGCGUUGUUCGGAAUUACUGGGCGUAAAGGGAGCGCAGGCGGACAGGUCAGUCUAAAGUGGAAAUCCGGGGCUCAACCUCGGACUUGCUUCGGAUACUGCCUGUCUUGAGUUCGUGAGAGGAAGAUGGAAUUCAGGGUGUAGCGGUGAAAUGCUCAGAUAUCCUGAGGAACACCGGUGGCGAAAGCGGUCUUCUGGCGCGAAACUGACGCUGAGGCUCGAAAGCGUGGGGAGCAAACGGGAUUAGAUACCCCGGUAGUCCACGCCGUAAACGUUGUGUGCUAGGUGUAGGAGGUAUCGACCCCUUCUGUGCCGCAGCUAACGCAUUAAGCACACCGCCUGGGGAGUACGCUCGCAAGAGUGAA